CCUACGGGUGGCAGCAGUGAGGAAUAUUGGUCAAUGGACGAGAGUCUGAACCAGCCAAGUAGCGUGAAGGUUGACUGCCCUAUGGGUUGUAAACUUCUUUUAUAUGGGAAUAAAAUGUUCCCCGUGUGGGAUUUUGUAUGUACCAUAUGAAUAAGGAUCGGCUAACUCCGGGCCAGCAGCCGCGGUAAUACGGAGGAUCCGAGCGUGAUCCGGUUUUAUUGGGUUUAAAGGGAGCGUAGGUGGAUUGUUAAGUAAGUUGUGAAAGUUUGCGGGUCAACCGUAAAAUUGCAGUUGAAACUGGCAGUCGUGAGUACAGUAGAGGUGGGCGGAAUGCGUGGUGUAGCGGUGAAAUGCUUAGAUAUCACGAAGAACUCCGAUUGCGAAGGCAGUUCACUGGACUGCAACUGACACUGAGGCUCGAAAGUGUGGGUAUCAAACAGGAUUAGAUACCCGAGUAGUC
This 460-nucleotide ribosomal RNA is filed under the name uncultured bacterium. RNAcentral's name for it is "partial 16S ribosomal RNA". It matches the Rfam family "Bacterial small subunit ribosomal RNA", at positions 338 to 795 of the family's 1533-position model. The record is from RNAcentral.